This is a long non-coding RNA of Stomoxys calcitrans (stable fly), 930 nucleotides long. RefSeq lists it as uncharacterized. NCBI's taxonomy places the organism in Eukaryota, Metazoa, Arthropoda, Insecta, Diptera, Muscidae. The record is from RefSeq and is a predicted model, not a curated record. The transcript has 4 exons.
UAUCAUGACUAAAUCUCCGUUAAAUCUAUCUCACGGGUUGCUCAUGGUGAACGGUGUUAUGCAACACAACAAAUUUCUGCACUAUUAGUGCCAAAAUGGCUAUUGCACUUCCCUAUAUUAAAGUUACCUUAAUCUACUAUUGCACUAUGGAUCAAAAAAUAUAUUAAAAUACCGGACAAACACUACACAAUCGUUGUCCAACUUGGAGCUAACGAGAUAUUGCACUUAUCCGCUGAAUUAUGCUACCACAUUAGAAAACAAUACUAGUUUCUUUUCAUUAACGUUGGCUCACUCUGGAGUUAACCAUAGAUCAAACGCCCUUAGUCCUGCAAUACGAUUCGCCUCUUAGUUUGGCGCUUUUGCUAACUCAAUCUAACCUCGACUAAUGGAGCUCGAUUAGGCGGAAUAGCAACCACUUUAUUGCUACCAAAACACACAAAUAAUCACAGACUUAUCGUAGUCAUCAAAUUAUAACAAUGGUUUUUCUACACCAGUACAUAUAGACGGACACACAAGGGACUGUAACAGCGGGAGGGGAAGCGCCAGGCGAAAUCUUCUUAGAUGGAAACUUCGCAGUCGAGCUUUAAUCAUAUAUCUCCCAACGGCCAAACUUCCUCGUGGGAUACAACUCUAACGCCAGCAACACUUUUAACAUAAAUCGGAUUCACACGGCAAAAGUACUUGCAAAUCUGCUGGGCACAACACUUCACCAAAGAGGCACUCUGCUCGUUGAUCAAACCAGAAAAAAAUAAUGACACUGGCCUCCGUCCACUCUACAAGGAAGGCCAGUGCAGUUCCAAAUUUUGUUUAUCUAUACGAAGAAAAUAGAAACCAAACACCACGAAACAUUCACUACAUCGGUCAAACAUCCACUUUUACUUUGGCUACUCACAUUGUAUGAUACACAAAUAAAAGUUCACACACAAAGUC